UCCAUAAGAAACUAGGUAUUAAUGUAGGCAUCCUCCCAUGGACACCAAAUCUAAUUAUUACGAUUAUUUUGAACCCUUUUGCAAAUGGCAAAGUGGGGAAAUCAGCAACACUCUGAGAGUCCAUCUCCAAGAGGUUGGAGUGGGCUCUAGCGAAUUCCGAUUUGGUGCAAAUUUGAUAAGGCUUCCAACGGGAUCAAAUAAACGUGCAGGUCAAGUUUGGCAAAAUAUUGAUCGAAGGAGAACGUGAAUAUGUUUUGGAAGGAACCUCAGCAACAAGAUGGAAGCGCUUCAGCAAAGAAAUACCACUUGAAAGAAGAGAAUACAAGCUGUGCAAUAUGAAAACAAAAUUUGAAGCAGGUGUUCUUUCUAUAAUUCUGCCUAAGAAAGUUCAUAAAGCAGAUCAACUUGGCCUGAGUAAAUUAGUCUCAACGUUGAAUGUUACGAGGACUACUGUGGAAGUCAUGCUAGCAGUUUCCAUGGGGUUGGCUGUUGGGGCAUAUGGAACAUACAAAUUAAUAUUCCCAAAUUAAUAUUUCUUUUUGGUGUUAAUUUUUUUUAAUUGAUUUGGGUUGUAGAUGUAGAGUCUGUAUAAGCUGAUCAAAAUUACUCAUCAAUAUUGACGCUGAAAAGUUCAUCCAAUAUGCCUCGAAUAAGAGACAAAAUUGAAGACCGCCUAUGGUCGGCUUACAAUUUUCACUAUGUUGCCAAUGCAAGUAUGGUCGGCUUAAAUAUUAUGCUUUGGUACACA
Prunus persica (peach) is the source of this 748-nucleotide RNA transcript. RefSeq lists it as uncharacterized. NCBI's taxonomy places the organism in Eukaryota, Viridiplantae, Streptophyta, Magnoliopsida, Rosales, Rosaceae. The record is from RefSeq and is a predicted model, not a curated record. The transcript is spliced from 3 exons.